UAGGGAAUCUUCGGCAAUGGACGGAAGUCUGACCGAGCAACGCUGCGUGAGUGAAGAAGGUUUUCGGAUCGUAAAGCUCUGUUGUAAGAGAAGAACGAGUGUGAGAGUGGAAAGUUCACACUGUGACGGUAUCUUACCAGAAAGGGACGGCUAACUACGUGCCAGCAGCCGCGGUAAUACGUAGGUCCCGAGCGUUGUCCGGAUUUAUUGGGCGUAAAGCGAGCGCAGGCGGUUAGAUAAGUCUGAAGUUAAAGGCUGUGGCUUAACCAUAGUACGCUUUGGAAACUGUUUAACUUGAGUGCAAGAGGGGAGAGUGGAAUUCCAUGUGUAGCGGUGAAAUGCGUAGAUAUAUGGAGGAACACCGGUGGCGAAAGCGGCUCUCUGGCUUGUAACUGACGCUGAGGCUCGAAAGCGUGGGGAGCAAACAGGAUUAGAUACCCUGGUAGUCCACGCCGUAAACGAUGAGUGCUAGGUGUUAGACCCUUUCCGGGGUUUAGUGCCGCAGCUAACGCAUUAAGCACUCCGCCUGGGGAGUACGACCGCAAGGUUG
This 550-nucleotide ribosomal RNA is filed under the name uncultured bacterium. Its description in RNAcentral is "bacterial SSU rRNA". It matches the Rfam family "Bacterial small subunit ribosomal RNA", at positions 355 to 896 of the family's 1533-position model. The record is from RNAcentral.